AUCCUUUGUGGGUUCUCUGAUGGUUGGGUGUCCACGCAAUUGUGUGAUGUAUGCCUCCCUUAAACCUUGUUACAAUAUUGACACAUUAUCCAUCUAAUG
Small nucleolar RNA from Suncus etruscus (white-toothed pygmy shrew), 99 nucleotides. RefSeq annotates it as small nucleolar RNA U13. The record is from RefSeq and is a predicted model, not a curated record. The transcript has a single exon. NCBI's taxonomy places the organism in Eukaryota, Metazoa, Chordata, Mammalia, Eulipotyphla, Soricidae.